This 468-nucleotide ribosomal RNA is filed under the name uncultured bacterium. RNAcentral describes it as "partial 16S ribosomal RNA". It matches the Rfam family "Bacterial small subunit ribosomal RNA", at positions 28 to 507 of the family's 1533-position model. The record is from RNAcentral.
GACGAACGCUGGCGGCGUGCUUAACACAUGCAAGUCGAACGGAAAGACCCUGCUUUUGUGGGGUGCUCGAGUGGCGAACGGGUGAGUAACACGUGAGUAACCUGCCCUUGACUUUGGGAUAACUUCAGGAAACUGGGGCUAAUACCGGAUAGGAGCUCCUGCUGCAUGGUGGGGGUUGGAAAGUUUCGGCGGUUGGGGAUGGACUCGCGGCUGAUCGGCUUGUUGGUGGGGUAGUGGCUUACCAAGGCUUGGACGGGUAGCCGGCUUGAGAGGGUGACCGGGCACAUUGGGACUGAGAUACGGCCCAGACUCCUACGGGAGGCAGCAGUGGGGAAUAUUGCACAAUGGGCGGAAGUCUGAUGCAGCAACGCCGCGUGCGGGAUGACGGCCUUCGGGUUGUAAACCGCUUUCGCCUGUGACGAAGCGUGAGUGACGGUAAUGGGUAAAGAAGCACCGGCUAACUACGUG